AUCUGUUUGAUGAGUCCCGAAUAGGACGAAAUCCGCGUCCUACAU
Molecule: non-coding RNA, 45 nt
Organism: Schistosoma rodhaini
Lineage: Eukaryota; Metazoa; Platyhelminthes; Trematoda; Strigeidida; Schistosomatidae
Source: Rfam